Carya illinoinensis is the source of this 1959-nucleotide long non-coding RNA. RefSeq lists it as uncharacterized. The record is from RefSeq and is a predicted model, not a curated record. The transcript has 2 exons. NCBI's taxonomy places the organism in Eukaryota, Viridiplantae, Streptophyta, Magnoliopsida, Fagales, Juglandaceae.
AAAUCAAAACUGCCUUUUCAGUUUGGUAGGUUGUUUAUCAUUUAUCAUCAUUUGUCGUAAUGCUUUUUCCUGAGUCAGUCAUAUUUUCGACUUUGCUGCCGCUCUAUUAUUAAUGAGAACUUCUACACAACUUCCUGUUGUAGCUCAACCACCGCACACCAAGCAUAUGUGGAUUUACUUCUUCUUCUUCUUCUUCUACUUUUUUUUUUUUUUUUUAAGUGCGUUUAGAAUCCUUAAUCAGCCCUGUUAUACGUUUUGACUUUCAUAAAUCAAAAUUUGCAUUUCCCCCCACCAACCCACCCCCUGCGUCCCCACCCUCCCCCCCAGCUCGGUUCUCUUCUGUACAGCUUCGUCGCACAGCCCGUGGUGUUGCUUCUCACCGCUCGUCUCCCGAACAGCGCUGUCUCUAGCCUCAGACAGUGGUCUAUUCCAAAAGAAUGGCAGCUGCUGCAAAAUUGCUUUCAUUAGUUUGCCUAGCUGGGGGGAGAACGAUAUUCCGAAAGAGGGAGAGUGUGGGAAAAGAUGAAUGGGGUGUGGAAUUUGCAGUAGCAAUAUCGCACUUAGCAGAAUAGGGUGGAGACGCACGGGCCAGGGGCAAUGGGUUUACUCCGUGAGACAAUCGGGGCAAAUCUCAGUUCUGAAUUGAACCCUCAAUUGAUUUGUAAAUAGUAUAAGCAUUUUGUUUCCAAUUCCGGAUAUUUAUUUGCUCUAGGAAAGUGAUAAUUUUUCUUACUACUAUUCAAUUCUGCCCUUCCGCACUUUAUUGCUCUAGGAAAGUGAUAAUUUAUUUAUAGCUUAUGGCAUGCUUGGAAAUGAAUAUUCUGUUUGAAAUGGGUUUCUGUACUCUUAUUUAGAGAGAUUGAUUUCUGUUUUGUCCUUUGAAAUGGCUUGUAAUUGAACUUUUGUGAGAAAUCCAUGGUUGAAAUGCGCUUUCGUACUCCUAUUUAGAGAAAUGGAUUUCUAUUUUGCUGUUUGAGAUGAUUUGAAAAUGAACUUUUACUUGAAAUCCAUGGUUGAAAUGGGCUUCUGUAGUAUUAUUUAGAUAAAUGGAUUUCUAUUUUGUUGUUUGAGAUGGUUUGAACUUGAACUUUUGUUUAAAAUCCAUGGUUUGAAAUGGAAAAACAUUUUUCAUUCUGUCCUGGUCAUAUUGAAAAGUUAAGAGUAGAAAUCCUGGAAUUUAUGCGGCCUCAUAGAGUCAUUCAUGGAGUUGAAAAUUGAUGAAAACAAUAGAGUACAGGUGUUCUAAAAGUAUAAUGACUCUGAUUAUAUUGACACUCCCAUUAGAAGUUACCAUUGAUUAAUUAUGAAAUGCACCAAGAUUCACUCACAUUGCAAUAACAGAUUCCCAUGUCUUGCUCUUAUUGGGUUCUUUGCAUUGUUUGUUUGUAACAUGUAUGGAGGGAAAAAUUGCCAAACAUAUACGCACAUAUGGGACAUUCUUCAAAAAUUUCUAUUUGGCUAUUUUAAAUAUUUUGGGUCUGAAAGAUUAGCGUAUUUUGUAUUGUUUCCGAUCUAUUAAUAUGUGACAUGUCGAUUUUGCAGGUUGGGCAUCCUUGCAAGUGUUGUUGUUGGUAUGACUUGGAAAUACCAAAAUAUGGCGAAAAGACAAUCAAACAACUACUACAGUCACUUGAUAGAUUAAACAUUGAAAUUGAAAAGAUACAAUCAGUAAUGGAUAUUCAAACCCCUCGACAUCAAUUAGAAAUAGAGGCUAAGAGGCGCAAGAGAAAACUGGAGAAGACUAUUUACGUUCUUACAAUUUCAAUGUCAUGGUUAAUUUUUUUGGGAUUACUUAUAUCCACUUGUUGGUUCAAAGAAAAAUGUUAAGUCAUUUGAUGUUGUAAUAGAAUUAACUGUGAAUGUAGCAGUUCACAUAUUAGUGAUUUAUUGUGAACUAUUUGAUGUGUAUGUAGAAGUUGUAAUUUAAUCCAGUUGUUGAAAGAAGGUUUGAGGUCUCUA